This 1432-nucleotide ribosomal RNA is filed under the name uncultured organism. Its description in RNAcentral is "SSU rRNA". It matches the Rfam family "Bacterial small subunit ribosomal RNA". The record is from RNAcentral.
ACACAUGCAAGUCGAGGGGCAGCACAGGUAGCUUUACCGGGUGGCGACCGGCGCACGGGUGAGUAACGCGUAUGCAACUUGCCUAUCAGAGGGGGAUAACCCGGCGAAAGUCGGACUAAUACCGCAUGAAGCAGGGAUCCCGCAUGGGAAUAUUUGCUAAAGAUUCAUCGCUGAUAGAUAGGCAUGCGUUCCAUUAGGCAGUUGGCGGGGUAACGGCCCACCAAACCGACGAUGGAUAGGGGUUCUGAGAGGAAGGUCCCCCACAUUGGUACUGAGACACGGACCAAACUCCUACGGGAGGCAGCAGUGAGGAAUAUUGGUCAAUGGCCGAGAGGCUGAACCAGCCAAGUCGCGUGAGGGAUGAAGGUUCUAUGGAUCGUAAACCUCUUUUAUAAGGGAAUAAAGUGCGGGACGUGUCCCGUUUUGUAUGUACCUUAUGAGUAAGGAUCGGCUAACUCCGUGCCAGCAGCCGCGGUAAUACGGAGGAUCCGAGCGUUAUCCGGAUUUAUUGGGUUUAAAGGGUGCGUAGGCGGCCUUUUAAGUCAGCGGUGAAAGUCUGUGGCUCAACCAUACAAUUGCCGUUGAAACUGGGGGGCUUGAGUAUGUUUGAGGCAGGCGGAAUGCGUGGUGUAGCGGUGAAAUGCAUAGAUAUCACGCAUAACCCCGAUUGCGAAGGCAGCCUGCCAAGCCAUGACUGACGCUGAUGCACGAAAGCGUGGGGAUCAAACAGGAUUAGAUACCCUGGUAGUCCACGCAGUAAACGAUGAUCACUAGCUGUUUGCGAUACACUGUAAGCGGCACAGCGAAAGCGUUAAGUGAUCCACCUGGGGAGUACGCCGGCAACGGUGAAACUCAAAGGAAUUGACGGGGGCCCGCACAAGCGGAGGAACAUGUGGUUUAAUUCGAUGAUACGCGAGGAACCUUACCCGGGUUUGAACGCAUUCGGACCGAGGUGGAAACACCUUUUCUAGCAAUAGCCGUUUGCGAGGUGCUGCAUGGUUGUCGUCAGCUCGUGCCGUGAGGUGUCGGCUUAAGUGCCAUAACGAGCGCAACCCUUGCCACUAGUUACUAACAGGUAAAGCUGAGGACUCUGGUGGGACUGCCAGCGUAAGCUGCGAGGAAGGCGGGGAUGACGUCAAAUCAGGACGGCCCUUACAUCCGGGGCGACACACGUGUUACAAUGGCGUGGACAAAGGGAAGCCACCUGGCGACAGGGAGCGAAUCCCCAAACCACGUCUCAGUUCGGAUCGGAGUCUGCAACCCGACUCCGUGAAGCUGGAUUCGCUAGUAAUCGCGCAUCAGCCAUGGCGCGGUGAAUACGUUCCCGGGCCUUGUACACACCGCCCGUCAAGCCAUGGGAGCCGGGGGUACCUGAAGUCCGUAACCGCGAGGAUCGGCCUAGGGUAAAACUGGUGACUGGGGCUAAGUCGUA